This 474-nucleotide ribosomal RNA is filed under the name uncultured bacterium. RNAcentral describes it as "bacterial SSU rRNA". It matches the Rfam family "Bacterial small subunit ribosomal RNA", at positions 28 to 508 of the family's 1533-position model. The record is from RNAcentral.
GACGAACGCUGGCGGCGUGCCUAACACAUGCAAGUCGAGCGGGGUUGAAGCGAGGGGUAACUCGGACUUCUACCUAGCGGCGGACGGGUGAGUAACGCGUGGGCAACCUGCCUCAAGGUUUGGGAUAACAGCUCGAAAGGGCUGCUAAUACCGGAUAUGCCUGUGGCCUCGCAUGGGGCUAUGAGCAAAGGGGAAACCCGCCUUGAGAUGGGCCCGCGUCCCAUCAGCUAGUUGGUGAGGUGAAGGCUCACCAAGGCGACGACGGGUAGCCGGCCUGAGAGGGUGACCGGCCACACUGGGACUGAGACACGGCCCAGACUCCUACGGGGGGCAGCAGUGGGGGAUCUUGCACAAUGGGCGAAAGCCUGAUGCAGCGACGCCGCGUGAGCGAAGAAGGCCUUCGGUGUAAGCUCUGUCUGGAGGGACGAAGAAAUAGACGGUACCUCCGGAGGAAGCCGACGGCUAACUACGUCG